UACAGAGGUGGCAAGCGUUGUUCGGAAUUACUGGGCGUAAAGGGCGCGUAGGCGGCACGGCAAGUCGGGAGUGAAAGGCCUGGGCUCAACCGAGGAACUGCUUUCGAGACUGCCGAGCUAGAGUGCGGAAGGGGCAACUGGAAUUCCCAGUGUAGCGGUGAAAUGCGUAGAUAUUGGGAAGAACACCUGAGGCGAAGGCGGGUUGCUGGGCCGACACUGACGCUGAGGCGCGAAAGCCAGGGGAGCAAACGGG
This 253-nucleotide ribosomal RNA is filed under the name uncultured bacterium. RNAcentral's name for it is "partial 16S ribosomal RNA". It matches the Rfam family "Bacterial small subunit ribosomal RNA", at positions 524 to 776 of the family's 1533-position model. The record is from RNAcentral.